This 806-nucleotide long non-coding RNA is filed under the name Macaca mulatta (Rhesus monkey). RNAcentral's name for it is "lncRNA (ENSMMUG00000055137.1)". Lineage: Eukaryota; Metazoa; Chordata; Mammalia; Primates; Cercopithecidae. The record is from RNAcentral.
AUGGCUGCUAGAAGGGACCAUGACAAGCCGGUUCAGAUUCUGGGCCCCAGCCUUCUCUUGAUCUUAGUCACGGACACCCAUCCACUUUCACCCAGCCAAGAGAAAGACUCACUGCAAGCUGUGAAUAAUGAGGCUAGAAAAUCAUUAAGGCAAGAGAUGAAGACAGGUUAUUUCAGGUGUGUCUUUGAGAAGAUGAGAAGAUCGCAGACCUGUGUUCUAAACUGGCAUACUUCUAAAGAAAAGGUGAGACCCCUGAAGUCUUCGGUUUUCAGAUAAAAGAUCAAUUGAAGACUGGCUACUAUCCAUAUUCUUUUUAACUUCUCCCCAGUAUAGCUCUUUAUUCAUCUAAUGAGCUCUCUAAUGAGCUUGUCUCCUACCAGACAAGCCGCUGAAUCCGACACUCAUAACCCGCCUCAUCAGCCACAGUGCUUUAUCAUUCAGGAGACUGUAUCAUUGAUCUUCCAAAGUGAGCCACCUUUGAAAUGGAAAGGGACAAUGAUUAAUAAUCACACCAGGCAACAUACAUGAACCAGGACUGUCUGGGGCAAAUUAGGAUGUGUUGAUCUCAUUAUAAGUGUCAAUCACCUCAGGGCAACUCCUUAUUUGUUGAAUCUAUUGGUUAGUGACAAAAUCUGUCUGAAACUUUCUCCACCCCCGUUCACUACUAAAGCUUUGGACAUUCUGGUAUGUGAUUAAAAACUUGUGACCUCCUAUCUAACUCUAUUCUUUUUUCAAAUCCUCUUUAUUGCAACAGUUUACUCAUACUAAAAAAUAUACAGAAUUACAUUACUCAAAGAAAACUCAAC